RNAcentral lists this ribosomal RNA (198 nucleotides) under uncultured bacterium. RNAcentral's name for it is "partial 16S ribosomal RNA". It matches the Rfam family "Bacterial small subunit ribosomal RNA", at positions 328 to 539 of the family's 1533-position model. The record is from RNAcentral.
ACGCUCGACACCUACGGGAGGCAGCAGUGGGGAAUAUUGCACAAUGGGGGAAACCCUGAUGCAGCGACGCCGCGUGAAGGAAGAAGUAUCUCGGUAUGUAAACUUCUAUCAGCAGGGAAGAAAGUGACAGUACCUGACUAAGAAGCCCCGGCUAACUACGUGCCUGCAGCCGCGGUAAUCUGAGCGGGCUGGCAAGGC